This 488-nucleotide ribosomal RNA is filed under the name uncultured bacterium. RNAcentral describes it as "partial 16S ribosomal RNA". It matches the Rfam family "Bacterial small subunit ribosomal RNA", at positions 28 to 507 of the family's 1533-position model. The record is from RNAcentral.
GACGAACGCUGGCGGCGUGCUUAACACAUGCAAGUCGAACGGAAAGGCCCUGCUUUUGUGGGGUGCUCGAGUGGCGAACGGGUGAGUAACACGUGAGUAACCUGCCCUUGACUUUGGGAUAACUUCAGGAAACUGGGGCUAAUACCGGAUAGGAGCUCCUGCUGCACGGUGGGGGUUGGAAAGUUUCGGCGGUUGGGGAUGGACUCGCGGCUUAUCAGCUUGUUGGUGGGGUAGUGGCUUACCAAGGCUUUGACGGGUAGCCGGCCUGAGAGGGGGGCCGGCCACCCUGGAACUGAGACACGGCCCAGAGGCCUACGGGAGGCACCAGUAGGGAACAUGGCGCAAUGGGCGGAAGCAUUACGGAGCAAGGCCGAGUGUUUGAGGAAGGCCUCCGGGUCGGAAAGGACGGUCUUUGGGUAGGAACCCAUUUUGCCGUAUACGUGCACUUAGUGACGGUAACUGAUUAAAAAGCCACGGCUAACUACGUG